GGCUGGUCCAAGUGCAGUGAUGUUUACAAUUAAUUCAUUAUAACCAGUUAUAGAUUUCUUUGUUCCUUCUCCAAAUCCCACUGCUACUUAACUAGCCUUUA
This 101-nucleotide Y RNA is filed under the name Papio anubis (olive baboon). RNAcentral's name for it is "Y RNA (ENSPANG00000039192.1)". It matches the Rfam family "Y RNA". From Rfam's summary of the family: Y RNAs are components of the Ro ribonucleoprotein particle (Ro RNP), in association with Ro60 and La proteins. The Y RNAs and Ro60 and La proteins are well conserved, but the function of the Ro RNP is not known. In humans the RNA component can be one of four small RNAs -- hY1, hY3, hY4 and hY5. The record is from Rfam by way of RNAcentral. Lineage: Eukaryota; Metazoa; Chordata; Mammalia; Primates; Cercopithecidae.